Molecule: ribosomal RNA, 253 nt
Filed under: uncultured bacterium
Lineage: Bacteria
Description: partial 16S ribosomal RNA
Rfam family: Bacterial small subunit ribosomal RNA
Source: RNAcentral
UACGUAGGGACCAAGCGUUGUUCGGAUUUACUGGGCGUAAAGGGCGCGUAGGCGGCAAUUCAAGUCAUCUGUGAAAUCUCCGGGCUUAACUCGGAACGGUCAGAUGAUACUGCUUUGCUAGAGUGCAGAAGGGGCAAUCGGAAUUCUCGGUGUAGCGGUGAAAUGCGUAGAUAUCGAGAGGAACACCAGAGGUGAAGACGGGUUGCUGGGCUGACACUGACGCUGAGGCGCGAAAGCCAGGGAAGCAAACGGG